GACGAACGCUGGCGGCGUGCCUAAUACAUGCAAGUCGAGCGAAGUUUUUCUGGUGCUUGCACUAGAAAAACUUAGCGGCGAACGGGUGAGUAACACGUAAAGAACCUGCCUCAUAGACUGGGACAACUAUUGGAAACGGUAGCUAAUACCGGAUAACAGUAUUUCUCGCAUGAGAGAUAUUUAAAAGUUGGUUAUGCUAACACUAUGAGAUGGCUUUGCGGUGCAUUAGCUAGUUGGUGGGGUAAAGGCCCACCAAGGCGACGAUGCAUAGCCGACCUGAGAGGGUGAUCGGCCACACUGGGACUGAGACACGGCCCAGACUCCUACGGGAGGCAGCAGUAGGGAAUCUUCCGCAAUGGGCGAAAGCCUGACGGAGCAACGCCGCGUGAGUGAAGAAGGAUUUCGGUUCGUAAAGCUCUGUUGUUAGGGAAGAAUGGAUAUGUAGUAACUAUACAUGUAAGAGACGGUACCUAACCAGAAAGCCACGGCUAACUACGUG
RNAcentral lists this ribosomal RNA (499 nucleotides) under uncultured bacterium. RNAcentral's name for it is "partial 16S ribosomal RNA". It matches the Rfam family "Bacterial small subunit ribosomal RNA", at positions 28 to 507 of the family's 1533-position model. The record is from RNAcentral.